UGUUUGUGUUGUGAAUUAUUUAGUGAGAGCAUGACAACUUUUAGUAUUUUUUGCCAAAUGUUCUAUUCAUUGAUGCUAAUGCAUUAGGUCAGUCAUUUUUACAUAUUGGAGGCCUGUGCAGUUUUUGCUUAUGAGUCGCACAGAUCUAGCUCACGUCCUCUGCCUCUUUGGCUCUGUCUAAGGGUUGAUGGGAUCAGUUUGUGGACAGUGAGUGCAUCUGUCUGGGGUGAUUCAUGACUCCAGGCCUUCCCUUCUGACAGCCUUCCUCUGCCAUCUCUCUCUCUCUCUCUCUCUCUCUCUCUCUCUCUCUCUCUCUCUCUCUCUCUCUUUAUCCUGACAGCAGGCUUUUCUGAGCGUGCUUGGAUGCAGCGUACCAACAUUUCCAAUGCAGCCUUUGGCCGUGGGGUCAGCCAGGCACCCACCGAUCCCUCUGUGAUCUGCCUGACUGAUCCGCCUCUGUCGGCUACAGCCGUUCGUGUGUGCGAGAAGAGCAAAGCAAUGUUGCACUUUGAUCCCCCUUCAUCCUACCGGACUAUAGGGAAGGUGACAUCUGAACUGAGACAGGGUGAAAGCAGCAGGGGGUGGGCUGCCCUGUGAAGCUAGAGGCUGCCUGACCUAGUAAAGGGGUGAUUUGUGGCGUCAAAGUAACCGGAAGUCAUUCAGUUUCAGAGAGAGAUGGCGAUUUGAGGCAAAGUGAGUGACAGUAACCAUAGGCGAAGUGACAAUGUGCAUGCUAAUGCACAGCAAUAAGGCAACAACCAUUAGGAGUUCAGAAUCAUGAUCCACCAUCCUGAUAUAAGAAUUGACUGAAUUCUGAUUCAAAAAAGUUUAUUUUCAUCACUUAAAGCUAAUAAUUUAAUGUAUAACAUUUAGGGCCAGAUUUACUAACAGAUUGCGCCAGCGCAAACCCUCUUUUGGCAUUAAAAACUAAUGUCCGGAUUUACUAAGACACUGUACAAAAUUAGCUCUGAAAAAGCGUGACUGAGUUGUUUUUGCAGCUUACCUUAUUGCAUAUGCAUUUGUAGGAGUUUCACUUUCAGACGCAAAAUUUAUGGGAGGAGAGUACUUAAAUAAAUCACGCAACGCGAUUUACUAAUGUUUGCGCUAGUCAAUUUACUGGUAUUUGUGCCAGUAUUUAACACCCCAAAAGAAGCAUGUCUUAACCCGUUUGCGACAUGGCUGCAAUUGUUCCUGCUUAGAGGAGACACCGCAGAGAACAGAGAUCGUGUGGUUGAAGGGAGAAAAUAUUUUCCACUUGUAUUAUUUUCUUUGGAAUGACAAUCUGUUCAUCAUGCAAAGUUGGUGUGUUGCACAUUAUGUUCUACACUAAGACUAACACUAAUAAUACCCUGUGGUGAAACAGUUUUUAAUAUUGUUUAUAUGUCUAUGUGGUGUUUUUAUUAUGCUUUAAGACAAACCAUGUGCAAAUUCAUCAGUCAAAACCAUUGCUGAGUAUUUUCUUCUUAAAACUACAGUGUACCAAAGACAGUCUCAAAAACGUGGUUUGAAAUAUUCCAUAAUUCCUACACCAAAAACUCGUAACCAAUCCAGUCAAUGUUAGGGGCGGGGCUUUUCCUAUUAUUAUUUCUAGGGAAGCUGAUUAGCUGUGAGACUUUGAGAUGGCAAACAGGAACAUGGUUUGUGUAACAUUAGCAACACACUAUUAGCUGUUUGAUAACGUAGUCAAGCAAAAGGUUAAACAUAUCAUUGUUUGAUAAAGUAUUCAAGUCAAAGGCUAAUCAUAUCAAUAACUGUUGACUUUUAUUAAAAUUAUGAAUGGUUAUAUCCUAGAAAGUGCGCAAAGACCACUCCCUUUACAACCAUCUCAAGUUCUGUUAUAAUCAGUAAAGUUGUCAACACAGCACAAUGGAUCUCUUAUUUACUUCGUAUCUACACUUUUUUUAAUGAGAGGGUUUGCGAGCGUGCAGUAAAAAACUUUUAGCAGUGAGUGGAUUCUUACUAAAUUAAACAUCCCUGGUCGGGCCCUGCGUUCAAGAGAUCAGCAAACCUGUCUGUGAUUGGUUACAUUGCUCACUGUUGCAAACCUCGUUGUGAAACUCAAAUAUGCACGUUUAAAUAUGUCGUUGUGAUUAUCAAAGAUUAAUUUUAAAGAAUUAUUGACUCCAGUGGGACUUUAACAUGUACUUAUACAUAAUUAAAAUUAAAAGUUGUAACUUCAUAUUGUUUAAUGGACCUACAGUUGAGGACAAAUUUUACAUACCCCUUGCAGAAUAUGCAA
Long non-coding RNA from Megalobrama amblycephala (Wuchang bream), 2239 nucleotides. RefSeq lists it as uncharacterized. The record is from RefSeq and is a predicted model, not a curated record. The transcript has 3 exons. Lineage: Eukaryota; Metazoa; Chordata; Actinopteri; Cypriniformes; Xenocyprididae.